Molecule: ribosomal RNA, 326 nt
Filed under: Heterophrynus longicornis
Lineage: Eukaryota; Metazoa; Arthropoda; Arachnida; Amblypygi; Phrynidae
Description: partial small subunit ribosomal RNA
Source: RNAcentral
GGGUAGUGAGAGGGAUUCUUGAAACCUAAAAUUUUUGGCGGUUUUUUAAGCUGUUUAGAGGAAUCUGUUCUGUAAUUGAUAACCCGCUUUUGGUUUAGCUUUAAUUGUGGUAUGUAUAUCGCCGUCGGAAAGUAGGUCUAUUUAGGAUUUAUUGUGAGGUAUUAUGAGAAGAUGACAGGUCGAGGUGCAGCUUAUGUUAAAGGGUGAAAUGGAUUACAAUACUUGAUUGGUACACGGAGAAAUGAUGAGAAUAUUUGUUAUUUGAAGGUGGAUUUAUUUGUAACACAAAAAUAAGAUGUUUGUUUGAUGUUAGUUCUAAGAAAUGU